CAGCGGAGGAGGUGGAGGAGGCGCCGGGCGGCCGCUUCCCGCCCCCGAGCCUGAGCCGGUGCAGAGCGGGGUAGAGCCGAGGUCGGACUCGGAGUGGAGUCAGCUGAGCGGGCGCCGAGUCCCCGCCAUGGCCCGAAACACGGUGUCCUCGCGCUUCUGUCGGGUGGAUAUCGUUGAGUUUGACGAGAACAAAUUCGUGGACGAGCAGGAGGAGGCGGUGGCAGCGGCAGGCGAGCCAGGCCCGGACCCUAGAGAGGUGGAUGGCCUUCUGCGGCAAGGGGACAUGCUUCGGGCAUUCCACGCAGCCUUGCGGAACUCUCUCAUCAACACCAAGAAUCAAGGCCGUGAAGGAACGAGCCCAGGGCGUGGUGCUGAAAGUGCUCACAAACUUUAAGAGCAGUGAAAUUGAGCAGGCUGUGCAGUUGCUGGACAGAAAUGGCACUGACUUGCUAAUGAAGUACAUUUAUAAAGGGUUUGAGAAGCCCACAGAAAACAGCAGUGCAGUGUUACUCCAGUGGCAUGAAAAGGCAUUAGCAGUAGGAGGACUAGGCUCCAUUAUAAGAAUUCUUACAGCAAGAAAGACUGUUUAAAAAAAUAAAAGGACUCAUGUUACCUUGAGAAGAAUUUUGGAUGCACAGGCUGAUGAAGAGGGAUUGACAAUGGACCAUCUUCCUGGGAACUCCCAACUAAACUAUUCCAGGACAUGCAUCUGCUGAAGUGUAUUUUAUUUUCAAGGUGGAGGGAGUACUUGUCUGUUUCCUAAAUCCUUUGCAGGAUCUGAUAGUCUAUGCCUUUGUCCACGAGUAACACAGAACUGACCUCGUAACUGUCUGCCGGAGUGGCUGGUCAGCGUUGGCCGGGUGUAGCUGUGUGCUCUGCCUAUUUCACGUGGGGGAGGGACGAUCUGGGCAGGUACAGAUCCAAGGGCUGUGGCCGAAGGAAGAGCUUGUUUUUUUGAAGUAGUAAAACUUCGAGGGUUUAUACAGACAUCCCGUCUUCUGAGAGAAGACGGGCUCUCUUGGAUUCAUUGUAAAGUGCCUGCUAUAUCAAUAAAGCUCUUGGCUUAUUAGUA
RNA transcript from Odobenus rosmarus divergens (Pacific walrus), 1072 nucleotides. It is a transcript of the gene named actin-related protein 2/3 complex subunit 5-like protein-like, with no coding region annotated. The transcript has a single exon. The record is from RefSeq and is a predicted model, not a curated record. NCBI's taxonomy places the organism in Eukaryota, Metazoa, Chordata, Mammalia, Carnivora, Odobenidae.